CCUACGGGAGGCAGCAGUGGGGAAUAUUGCACAAUGGGGGAAACCCUGAUGCAGCGACGCCGCGUGAGUGAAGAAGUAAUUCGUUACGUAAAGCUCUAUCAGCAGGGAAGAAACACUGACCUUACGGUCAGCAGACGGUACCUGAGUAAGAAGCCCAGGCUAACUACGUGCCAGCAGCCGCGGUAAUACGUAGGGGGCAAGCGUUAUCCGGAUUUACUGGGUGUAAAGGGGGCGUAGACGGUGAGACAAGUCUGAAGUGAAAGCCCGGGGCUCAACCCCGGGACUGCUUUGGAAACUGCCUGACUGGAGUGAUGGAGAGGCAAGCGGAAUUCCUAGUGUAGCGGUGAAAUGCGUAGAUAUUAGGAAGAACACCAGUGGCGAAGGCGGCUUGCUGGACAGUAACUGACGUUGAGGCUCGAAAGCGUGGGGAGCAAACAGGAUUAGAUACCCGAGUAGUC
This 458-nucleotide ribosomal RNA is filed under the name uncultured bacterium. RNAcentral's name for it is "partial 16S ribosomal RNA". It matches the Rfam family "Bacterial small subunit ribosomal RNA", at positions 338 to 795 of the family's 1533-position model. The record is from RNAcentral.